GGCGGACGGGUGAGUAACGCGUAAGGAACUUGCCUCUUGGUCUGGGACAACUGUUGGAAACGACAGCUAAUACCGGAUAUUAUGAGAUUCUCGCAUGGGAAACUUAUGAAAGCUAUAUGCGCCAAGAGAGAGCCUUGCGUUCCAUUAGCUAGUUGGUGGGGUAACGGCCCACCAAGGCGACGAUGGAUAGCCGGCCUGAGAGGGUGAACGGCCACAAGGGGACUGAGACACGGCCCUUACUCCUACGGGAGGCAGCAGUGGGGAAUAUUGGACAAUGGGCCACAAGCCUGAUCCAGCAAUUCUGUGUGCACGAUGAAGGUCUUCGGAUUGUAAAGUGCUUUCAGUUGGGAAGAAGAAAGUGACGGUACCAACAGAAGAAGCGACGGCUAAAUACGUGCCAGCAGCCGCGGUAAUACGUAUGUCGCAAGCGUUAUCCGGAUUUAUUGGGCGUAAAGCGCGUCUAGGCGGAAAAAUAAGUCUGAUGUUAAAAUGCGGGGCUCAACUCCGUAUUGCGUUGGAAACUGUUUUUCUAGAGUACUGGAGAGGUGGGCGGAACUACAAGUGUAGAGGUGAAAUUCGUAGAUAUUUGUAGGAAUGCCGAUGGAGAAGUCAGCUCACUGGACAGAUACUGACGCUAAAGCGCGAAAGCGUGGGGAGCAAAC
RNAcentral lists this ribosomal RNA (662 nucleotides) under uncultured bacterium. RNAcentral describes it as "bacterial SSU rRNA". It matches the Rfam family "Bacterial small subunit ribosomal RNA", at positions 97 to 773 of the family's 1533-position model. The record is from RNAcentral.